RNAcentral lists this ribosomal RNA (497 nucleotides) under uncultured bacterium. Its description in RNAcentral is "partial 16S ribosomal RNA". It matches the Rfam family "Bacterial small subunit ribosomal RNA", at positions 28 to 507 of the family's 1533-position model. The record is from RNAcentral.
GAUGAACGCUGGCGGCGUGCCUAAUACAUGCAAGUCGAGCGAACAGACGAGGAGCUUGCUCCUCUGACGUUAGCGGCGGACGGGUGAGUAACACGUGGAUAACCUACCUAUAAGACUGGGAUAACUUCGGGAAACCGGAGCUAAUACCGGAUAAUAUAUUGAACCGCAUGGUUCAAUAGUGAAAGACGGUUUUGCUGUCACUUAUAGAUGGAUCCGCGCCGCAUUAGCUAGUUGGUAAGGUAACGGCUUACCAAGGCAACGAUGCGUAGCCGACCUGAGAGGGUGAUCGGCCACACUGGAACUGAGACACGGUCCAGACUCCUACGGGAGGAAGCAGUAGGGAAUCUUCCGCGAUGCGCGAAAGCCUGACGGAGCAACGCCGCGUGAGUGAUGAAGGUCUUCGGAUCGUAAAACUCUGUUAUUAGGGAAGAACAAAUGUGUAAGCAACUAUGCACGUCUUGACGGUACCUAAUCAGAAAGCCACGGCUAACUACGUG